Molecule: non-coding RNA, 1689 nt
Organism: Erythranthe guttata (spotted monkey flower)
Lineage: Eukaryota; Viridiplantae; Streptophyta; Magnoliopsida; Lamiales; Phrymaceae
Source: RefSeq, a predicted model, not a curated record
UUGAGUUUGUUUUUCCUCCACGACAGUAACAAUGAAAAAUAAAAUAAAAUAAAAAACAUCACACGUAUAGAAAACUGAAGACACGAUAAAUAACUACUCUUCAUUUACAUCUCGCGUACUCCGCUUCUCUCUCAAAAAUCCCCUUGAGCACAAAAAACUGCAACUAAAAGUAUUUUUAUUUGGCACUACUCAACAUUUAUUCAUCUUCCAAAGGCACGAGUUAGAGAUUUCCAUGGAGAUUGAAUAAACUCUCUUUUCACCCCUCCCGUAGAAAACCUCAAUGGGAUCUUCCAAGCUUCCAUAUUUCAAAAAUUAGGGUUCAUGUGAUUUGAAAUGUUGUAAAUAGAACACACACACAGACGCAUAGAGGAGUAAAAUCGAUGAAUUUGAGGUGCAAAAGAUGUUCACUGCACAUACGAGAUCAAUGACGCAGGAUAGUUGCCCAUACGGUUUCAUCAUUGGAAUCUGAUUUGUCAAAGACCAAGCAAAGAAGUUGGAUUCAUAGUUACAACCUUCAAGAGACUGAAGGAAGAGUGCCUUCUUUUUUAGUAUGUAUGCUGUUUAAUUAUGUAUGCAGAAUUAGAUUUUGAUUCUUGCAAGUGAUAUUGAUUCUACGGUUCAUGAGCGACUAGACGUUGUUUUUAUGCCCCACGAUUUAGCUAGGAGACACUUUGGGAAUUGAUACUCAUAAUUUUGUCGAUUAUCUAAAUUUGGUUGUGAAAAUUCUAGAUACGUUUAUUUUUACCUUGCUUGCAAUUCUAAUUUUAUAGUGACCUGUUUGUGAACUUAUUUUGAUUUCAAAAUUACAAAUUGUUGUAGGGAGCGGAAAUACCCAAAGAACCUGGACUGAAAUAAAUCACAACACACGAGUAGAUAACUCUUGGAGGGGAUGGUAUGUAACAGAAAUUAUACUCUAUCUGUAUCUGAGCUGUUUUUUGGAUAUUUAGUUUUUGUAAUUCUUCAAUUUGUGCAAUAACCAAGUAAAUUCUUAGAAUACACUUUGAGUUCGACUAUUCUAAAGUUUAUCAUAAUACGAAAUCACUCCUCUCGGGGACCCAUAAGAGCAAUCUCCACAAGAAUGCGCGCAGAAGAGUUGUGGCGGAAUAUGCUACAUUGCUAGUGGUAGUCACUCAAUAUUCAUAAUGCGUUUCCUGAGUUAGUUUCUUUGGUUCACUCAUUUUUAUUGUGUCUAUUCUCCCCGAUUUGCUGUUCUUAUAUAAUUUUGAGAUUUUUCUCUUACUUGCAGUAUGUCCAUUGACAAAUUUGGGUGUAGAACUAAAUUCACAGCUCAUCAUUUAUGCUAUGAUGAAUUUCUCCAAGGUGUAUUCCAAAUAGAUUAAUGGUUUAUCUAAUAUAAGAAAUCGGAGGGAAGGACACGUUUAUUGAACUUUCUAGGAGCUAAGGACAGGUUUGCAGCAGCAAGUAGUGCAAGAAGUCCUCCUCUCCAUGCUUCCUCCUGGUGCGCCUCCUCAAGCAUUGCCUCUUUUUCGUAUUUUUUUUUCCUGGAUUUUUAUAGACCUUGAAUUUGUUUAGAUGGAAACAUUAUUUAUACUAUGAUAUACUGAGCGUAAUUCGUAUCAAAAUUAUUUAAGUAUUUAAUAACACGAAUAUCGAAUGUUCCUGUAUUAUCUUUAUCGCGCGUGUAGAUUGUAUAUAAUGUAAAAUGAAUUGCUCGAAAGUUGUUUUGAU